This 496-nucleotide ribosomal RNA is filed under the name uncultured bacterium. RNAcentral's name for it is "partial 16S ribosomal RNA". It matches the Rfam family "Bacterial small subunit ribosomal RNA", at positions 28 to 506 of the family's 1533-position model. The record is from RNAcentral.
GAUGAACGCUGGCGGCGUGCCUAAUACAUGCAAGUCGAGCGAACAGACGAGGAGCUUGCCCCUUUGACGUUAGCGGCGGACGGGUGAGUAACACGUAGGUAACCUACCUAUAAGACUGGGAUAACUUCGGGAAACCGGAUCUAAUACCGGAUAAUAUUUCGAACCGCAUGGUUCGAUAGUGAAAGAUGGCUUUGCUAUCACUUAUAGAUGGACCUGCGCCGUAUUAGCUAGUUGGUAAGGUAACGGCUUACCAAGGCAACGAUACGUAGCCGACCUGAGAGAGGGAUCGGCCACACUGGAACUGAGACACGGUCCAGACUCCUACGGAAGGCAGCAGUAGGGAAUCUUCCGCAAUGGGCGAAAGCCUGACGGGGCAACGCCGCGUGGGUGAUGAAGGUCUUCGGAUCGUAAAACUCUGUUAUUAGGGGAGAACAAAGUUGUAAGUAACUGUGCACGUCUUGCCGGUACCUAAUCAGAAAGCCCCGCCUACCUACGU